Molecule: long non-coding RNA, 295 nt
Organism: Drosophila innubila
Lineage: Eukaryota; Metazoa; Arthropoda; Insecta; Diptera; Drosophilidae
Exons: 3
Source: RefSeq, a predicted model, not a curated record
AACUUCUAAAACAACGUUGUAAUUUAUAAAAUUGUUGGUGUAUUGUAUGUUUUGACAAUUAACGAUUAAACGGAACAGCGUAAAAAGAACGAAGAAGCACCGAAAAGCGUAAAAAUGGAAAUUGGUCGCAAGGUUUGCAGUUGCUCGAAACUAACAACAACAACAACAAAAUCAACACGCAAUACAAUUGUUGUUGCUGUACAGGCAAAUAAAAUAUGUGAAGGAACUUGCCAACUCCAAGAGUGAGUGAGAGAAGGACAGCAAGUGUUAGAAGGGGAAGUAAAGAGAGAGAGAG